This is a long non-coding RNA of Spinacia oleracea (spinach), 1438 nucleotides long. RefSeq lists it as uncharacterized. Lineage: Eukaryota; Viridiplantae; Streptophyta; Magnoliopsida; Caryophyllales; Amaranthaceae. The record is from RefSeq and is a predicted model, not a curated record. The transcript is spliced from 3 exons.
GUUAAGACUUAACCCUUUUUUUUUAAUAUCUAACACUCCGUAUGGCAAUAGAAUUUGAUAUACCAAAGAAUUGUAUUCCAGCACAAAUAAUCAAGCACCGUAUAGGGUCUUGGUGCCGCAACAUAUAAGAAAUAUCCUUAGGCUUAUUAUUUCUUUUACCAUAAAGAACGACUCUUGUUAUCUUGAUUGAAGAUUUCAGACCUCGACCAGAGAAGGAAUAAGAUUCGGGGUUGCUAGAAUCUGCUGAUCUUCCUUGUUGUUCUAGCUACUUGAUCGUGAUAGAGAUGACUAAGUCAAGUCAAUGUUUGUUAACUCUAGUAUUUAUCACUGUGUUAAUAUCUUCCGUAUUUAUCUCUUAGUUAGCAUAACUGCCUUUUGUAUCUAUCUUUUCAUAGGUUGUUAAUAACUACUGUAAACCUAAUGUAUUUGUAUAAAUACUCUAGUGGCUAAUGAUAAUAUUAACUUUCCAAUACCUCCUCAUUCGUUUAUAGAUCGUACACAGACCGGAAACGGAGCUAUCUUUGAGUAGUAUUGAGGAGCAUCACUGUCAACACCUCUUGAGCCUCUUCAAUCUCGAAGUACGACAUUUUUCUUUGUUAUUGGAGCUGCCGUGAAAACAACAUAACGAGCUCUAGACUAUUGAGAUCCGCGAGCAUGGUGCAUAUCAAGGAAAUUCAUGAUAAAAGGCACAACUACUUAUGCAUUACUGAUGAGGAGGAAAAUGAUCCUAAGUCUGGUACUUGGUUAACCAUUCGUCCUUCAUUGGCGCCGUUUGGGGGGUACAGGACCCUCUUUUUGUACGAACAUUAUGCCUUUCAGUUAGUUUUGUUUUUUAUUCAUCAUAUGAAUUUUUUUGUUUAUUUAUUUAGCCGUUCACAUUUUAUACUCUUACGGGCCAGGAGUGUAGUAAUGAAUAAUUAUUUUUCCGUUCACAGUUUAGACUCUUGCGGGCCAGGAGUGUAGCAAUGUUUGUGAUUUUUUUUUGGUGUGGCUGCACUUGAAUAGUUUUUUUUUUUUUACUCAAGCUGCCUACGUACUUGCAAAAUAAUUGAUAAAUUACCUUGCAAGAUCAAGCCAACGUAGUUCAACAAACAUUUUUUUUUUGAGUGAGCAGUUUAUCCUCUUACUUAGGAGUUUACAAAGAUUUCAAUUUUCAUGAGUAGUACCGCUUUAGAAACUUGCCGUUGAUAGGCCCCACUCGUAGUCCUUCCGCGUCAACGAUUUUGUAUGCCCCAUUAGUGUAUACCUCUUGCACAACAUAUGGACCAUCCCAUUUUGAAGUGAAUUUACUUCCAGUCUUACGUGAAGUAAUGAUAGGUCGUCUCACUGCUAGAACUAUGUGCCCCACUUGAAAAGAGCGAGGUCGAACUUUCUUGUUGAAUGCGCGUGACAGACGAGCCUGAUAGCAUUCCGAUUUCUGUUGUGCCUGCAGUCUUUU